Molecule: long non-coding RNA, 630 nt
Organism: Acipenser ruthenus (sterlet)
Lineage: Eukaryota; Metazoa; Chordata; Actinopteri; Acipenseriformes; Acipenseridae
Exons: 5
Source: RefSeq, a predicted model, not a curated record
UUCCCAGCAAGCCAUGAAGGAAAUGCUUGCGACAAUACUCAGAAACCAAAAACAAAUCAUUCAAAGUCAGAAGCAUUCUCAAAACUCUAUGGAGGCAGUUCUGACAAAAAUAUCUAAAGUGAAAGUCAAACCUGUGAAUGUUUCUCCAGUGAUAAAGCAUUUAGUACAUAGGCCAUACAAUCAUUACACCACAGAGGAUGAAGACCCCUGGAAAACAACUGAAGAUUGCCAUGAAAACUUAUUGGUGUUCUGUGAAAAGAAGAAGCAAUGAAUUGAACAUCUGGUACAGACGUCAGCUUGAGGCGAGGAGAAGAACGUCAAAAAGAGAUAAACUACAACAUCGUCUUUGCAUCCUCACGACAGCAGAUACCAUACCAGAUGGUCAUCUAUUAAACACUUUUUACAACAUUGCCAAUUGAAAUUACAGUGAGCUCCGAAGAGUCUGGGGAGGAGGAUGACCCAUUCAGUGCCAAUGAGAAGAUCAAAGUAAAAGUAGUUAGGCCCAGGCGAUGGGAAUCAGCAAAAAUUAAAGAGGUGAAAAAAUGCCUUGACCUGCAAUACAGGUCAAAAAACAGAUGCAGGCAAAUGCCCAGAACAAUGGAGUCAUUCUCAAUUAGAGAUAAUCCUGAA